AUUUAAAUAGUUUAAUUUAAAACUUUGCAAUGUGGCUGCAAUAACACAAUACUAUAAUUUGUUUUGAAUC
Molecule: transfer RNA, 70 nt
Filed under: Terebellides stroemii
Lineage: Eukaryota; Metazoa; Annelida; Polychaeta; Terebellida; Trichobranchidae
Description: tRNA-His
Source: RNAcentral